This 389-nucleotide ribosomal RNA is filed under the name uncultured bacterium. RNAcentral's name for it is "bacterial SSU rRNA". It matches the Rfam family "Bacterial small subunit ribosomal RNA", at positions 28 to 409 of the family's 1533-position model. The record is from RNAcentral.
GACGAACGCUGGCGGCGUGCCUAACACAUGCAAGUCGAACGAGAUCCAUGGGAGCUUGCUCCCGGAAGAUCUAGUGGCGAACGGGUGAGUAACACGUGAGAAACCUGCCCUGGAGUGGGGAAUAACUCGGGGGAAACUCGAGCUAAUACCGCAUACCCUCGGAUGGUCGCAUGGCCGACCGAGGAAAAGAUUUUAUCGCUCUAGGAGGGUCUCGCGGCCUAUCAGCUAGUUGGUGGGGUAACGGCCUACCAAGGCAACGACGGGUAGCUGGUUUGAGAGAACGAUCAGCCACACUGGGACUGAGACACGGCCCAGACUCCUACGGAGGCAGCAGUGGGGAAUCUUGCGCAAUGGGCGAAAGCCUGACGCAGCAACGCCGCGUGCGGGAU